This 233-nucleotide unclassified non-coding RNA is filed under the name uncultured fungus. Its description in RNAcentral is "sequence contains ITS1". The record is from RNAcentral. Lineage: Eukaryota; Fungi.
GUAUUGUAUUGCGUUAAACGCGAUGUACAUUCCAUGAGACUUCAUCACAGUGUGUGUGUGUAAAGACAUAGAACCACAGCAGGAGGGCAGGGCCCCCACGCCAUAGAACUACAGAGGGUGCACAGGUGUGAGUGGAUGUGUAAACAGAGCGUGCACAUGCCCCCAUUUGAGGGCCAGCAACAACUCAUGUUGACAGUUCAGUAAUGAUCCUUCCGCAGGUUCACCUACGGAAA